RNAcentral lists this long non-coding RNA (1690 nucleotides) under Salmo salar (Atlantic salmon). Its description in RNAcentral is "lncRNA (ENSSSAG00000114792.1)". The record is from RNAcentral. Lineage: Eukaryota; Metazoa; Chordata; Actinopteri; Salmoniformes; Salmonidae.
UGACUUCACACAUCAUCUGUUCUAACCUGCCCCUUGGCAUUUUGGUCCUCCUGGUUUUGACCCUUGCCUGUUCCUGGACUUUGUACCCGCCUGCCUGACCAUUCUGCCUGCCUUGACCACGAGCCUGCCUGCCACUCUGUACCUCCUGGACUCUGAUCUGGUUUUGACCUUUUUGCCUGUCCAAGACCAUUCUAUUGCCUUCCCCUUUGGAUUAAUAAACAUUGUAAGACUCCAACCAUCUGCCUCCUGUGUCUGCAUCUGGGACUCUCCUUGUGCCUUGAUACAUUUGUGUGUAUGUGUGUGUGUGUGCAAGAGAGAGCGAUAGAGAGAGAGAGAGCCAUAGAGAAGCUACAUGAGCAUGUAGCACUAUGCCUAAACCCUGCUGAAAUGAGGGGAAGUGCUGGCUGUUAAAAAGUCUGUUCGGUAGCAUGUUUACGCCGGUUUAGAUGAUAGGGGAAACGGUGGGAGAUAUCCCAUUAAAAUGUAACACAUGAAUAUACAUUGCAGCUUACACAUUUCUUGAGCUAUUCCCUCAAUCCCGCUCAUCGCCAACGGUCUCACACAUAAACAACACACAUACAGACAUACUCAAACACACACAUAUACACACACCAGUGGAAGCUGGUGGGAGGAGCUAUAGGAGGACAUGCUCAUUGUAAUACCAUUUAUACCAUUCCAGCCAUUAAAAUGAGCCCGUCCUACUAUAGAUCUUCCCACCAGCCUCCACUGACAAACACACAGACACACAUACUCAAAUACACACACACAUGCACGCACAGGGAGAUCGUUCAAGAUUGAUGUCAAAAUUGGACGUCCCGAGGACGUCGGGAAAUGGUUUCAAAACUGGCCACUAGUGGCAACAAUGAGUGCGAUUACCAUCAAGAAGGCUUGGGUUUUGAUAGGGCGUUGUGGACAGGGGUGGUGGAUGGGCGUAAUCCCAUGGGUUAAGAUUUGGGAUAUGGUUAAAAAAAAAGUUUAACCACUUAUCCGGAAUGGUCAAGGUAUAGGUUACGGUUUGGGAUAGGGUUCAAACAUUAAGUUUAACCAGUGUCCACAACGAGCAUCAAACACACAACCUUCGGAUCCAGAGUCAUGGGAUACCAUGCAUGAUCGAUGCCAGUCGUAGACACUGGUUUUAAUUGUUUUGUUUGAAACCUAUCCCAAACCUUAACCCUUACCUUAACCAUUCAGAAUGAGUGCCUAAACAUAACCCUUAACUUAGAAAUGCAGCACUUGGUGAAAUGGAAUGAUACUGAGCAGCAGGAGAAACAAAAACACUUCUAAAUUUGACAGUUGGAGCAACUUCAAAAUGUUAUGUUUUUUAGGACAUGGAUGAACGUCUAAUGCUGCAAUGAGACUGUGAGAGCUUGUUGUGCAUGCAUGCCAGCACACACACACACACACACACACACACACACACACACACACACACACACACACAGUUCAUCUUUUUGGCCUUCAGCUGAUACAGCACUCAUCUUCUUUAUAACAUCCUUAUUGAUUCUCCUCAUUCACAGCAAAGGAAGAUAUAUACAGUAGUGGUCUGUGGAGCCAGCUCAAGGUUAACCUUACAAAUCAUUAGCUAUUUAAAUACUGCCAGCUGGAAUAAAGAGCUUAAUAAACAGACAGGAAAUACGGUAUGAGAGAGUAGGUCUGGAUGGAGCUCUACCUGUUCCCCAUUAUAGUGGUG